CCCCACUGUACCUCUUUGUUGUUCCACAAAGAUCUGUUUGUUUGAUCUUUCCAUCUCUUCAUUGUUUCAGUCUAAACUGAGAGACAGGGAUGAAGGCAGAGGAGGAACUGAAACCAAACCUUCAGAGGAAUUUCUGACCGUUAUAUCAGCUAGCACAGACCCCUGGUUUUGCCACUUCUCGGUGAUUCCACAGUGCGGUACCCGCUCUGGUAGUUGCAUGAUGGAUGUGGCCUGAGAGGCUUCCCUGAGGAGGUGAGCUGACUGAGGGAAGGGACAAAGGUCCCAACAACAAAACAGAAGGAAGCCUGAGACUCUUUUUACAGAAGGGGAAGAACUCUGGACAAUUUUUUCCUGGAGUCCUGCUUUUUCUUCUGGUCCAGUUUAAUGGAGAAACAGUAAAUGUCCACUCAGAUUUCU
Molecule: long non-coding RNA, 417 nt
Filed under: Equus asinus (donkey)
Lineage: Eukaryota; Metazoa; Chordata; Mammalia; Perissodactyla; Equidae
Description: lncRNA (ENSEASG00005027069.1)
Source: RNAcentral